RNAcentral lists this long non-coding RNA (1863 nucleotides) under Solanum tuberosum (potato). RNAcentral's name for it is "long non-coding RNA (STUB_LNC001203)". The record is from RNAcentral. Lineage: Eukaryota; Viridiplantae; Streptophyta; Magnoliopsida; Solanales; Solanaceae.
AACUGCUCCUUUAAUUUGGUCACUUGUGGCUGCAGGACUGUACUACGUUUAAAUAGUGUCUGAUGAGUUGGGUCUUCUCUGUGGCUCCUCUGUAAUUAUUAUUGUUUAGCAAUUUUAAGUGUGGCUCAGCUCCUUCAACUUUUGCCUUAUAUACUUUAACUUAGAAGUACGAAUAUAUUCAUAGUUCAUACUUUAUUUGGUCUAUUAUUGUUCAUAGUUCAUACUUUAUUAGAGAGGAAUCAACACAUGAAUUAUAUGUUAACCACUUAAGGAUAACUACAAAUGAGUAAUAGAGUCAAGUACAAUCUGACAGAGAGCUAAAAUUAGAAGUACAAAUAUAUUCAUAAUCUUGAAACUUAGUGAUUAUAUUCUAAUUGUUAGUGAUGUGAUUGCUUGAUGUUGGAUCGUGUUCCUCAUUCCGUUUCCUUUACUUGAUGGAACAACCCAAAAUUCAGUUAAUUCAACCCAAGCCAUUUUGUGAUUAUAUUCCGUUUCCUAACCAAGUUGUCUGUUGGACCAUGAGUAGAAUGUGAAAGGUCAAAAGUACUCGGUUGACACAUCUAUGAGAAUUAGCUUACGAUUUCAUUCUUUUUAGACCUCUGCUUUAGUUAAUACAUCAUAUGUAUGUUGUGUGUGUUCUCAUAUUAGAAUGCUUUGGAGAUUAUUCCAGUAGGUAGGAUAUUAAUAUAUUUGGGCUAGCUGUAUAUACUUUCUGUUCAGAUGAUUAAAGAGUAGUAGGUAGGAUACUAAUAUAUUUGGGCUAGUUGUAUAUACUCUUUGUUCAGAUGAUUAAAGAGUGUAUGAAAUGCUUCUUUUUUUUCUUUUCCUUUCUUAUGGGCGUGUAAUGUAUUCAAGACUGGUUCUUUUAAGUAAUGAUUUCCAUCACAUUUUGUUUCAGUCUAUAUUCUACUAUGUGUGCUUUCCUCUUUGUUUUGGUAAAAUCCCAUUUUACAGAAAAUUUAUUAAGAGUCAGUUCCCUCUCUAAGUAUACGAGGGAACUGACAGAGAUGACAAGUUUAUUAUUUAUGAAUUAGAACAUAAAUUGAUUCGAGGUCUAUUUCUGGUUCACUUGAUAAAUCAGUUUCUAGUCCUUUCUUUUGUCCUUGUUCUUGUAUUUUUUAUGUGCAUAUUUUUAGGUUCAUGUGACUGACUAGUAGCUUUCCCCAACCAUUGUUGAACCAUACAGUAUCUAAAUUUCAUUAUUUAUGUGUUUACAAACAUAUUUAUUUUUUGGUUCAGAAAAUGAAAAUUCCCGAGCAUAAAAAAUGGAUGGUAAAUAGACUAAUCCCCGGUCGAGCGGGAUAUACUACAGCACAGUUGCAAUAUUCGGUGGCUAGAUGAUAAAGAAUUUGAACAAUUGAUGUUACCACCGGCCAAUAGGACUCCAGUCACCUCAUCUAGUACAGUUGGCAAUAGAGACAAUGAUCAUCAAAUCUGGAUUGUACCUGAAGAGGACGGGUAAUAAGACUAACUUUUAAUAAUACAUUUGCUUAGCUGAAUUGUUUAUCUGUUUAUAUUUUCGAUAACUACUGUAUUUUUAUAUAGGUUUGAUCCUCACAAGAUAGUAAUUGACGGCAUUGCUAGUUGCAUUCGUAGUAAAUUUGAAUUGGCUAGACCCUCAUGGAAGAAGUUUCCACAAUCUACUCAUGAUAUGUGGUUUGAGGAAUUCAAGGUAAGGACACUAUACACAUAUGAUUAUAUCAAGUCAUAUGAGUUUGAUAUUAACCUGAGUUACUGCUUACUGCCUUCACUGAUAUUUUGUCAAUCUCGUUAUGAUAUUUUGGUUGGGUCAUUUUAGCUCUUGCUUCUUUUAUAUAAUUCUUCAUCUUGCUCAUUGGGUUGUUGAGUUUCCCUUUCAUGAUU